RNAcentral lists this ribosomal RNA (692 nucleotides) under uncultured Bacteroidota bacterium. Its description in RNAcentral is "bacterial SSU rRNA". It matches the Rfam family "Bacterial small subunit ribosomal RNA", at positions 553 to 1248 of the family's 1533-position model. The record is from RNAcentral. Lineage: Bacteria; Pseudomonadati; Bacteroidota.
AUUGGGUUUAAAGGGAGCGUAGGCCGGAGAUUAAGCGUGUUGUGAAAUGUAGACGCUCAACGUCUGCACUGCAGCGCGAACUGGUUUCCUUGAGUACGCACAAAGUGGGCGGAAUUCGUGGUGUAGCGGUGAAAUGCUUAGAUAUCACGAAGAACUCCGAUUGCGAAGGCAGCUCACUGGAGCGCAACUGACGCUGAAGCUCGAAAGUGCGGGUAUCGAACAGGAUUAGAUACCCUGGUAGUCCGCACGGUAAACGAUGGAUGCCCGCUGUUGGUCUGAAUAGGUCAGCGGCCAAGCGAAAGCAUUAAGCAUCCCACCUGGGGAGUACGCCGGCAACGGUGAAACUCAAAGGAAUUGACGGGGGCCCGCACAAGCGGAGGAACAUGUGGUUUAAUUCGAUGAUACGCGAGGAACCUUACCCGGGCUUGAAUUGCAGAGGAAGGAUUUGGAGACAAUGACGCCCUUCGGGGCCUCUGUGAAGGUGCUGCAUGGUUGUCGUCAGCUCGUGCCGUGAGGUGUCGGCUUAAGUGCCAUAACGAGCGCAACCCCUCUCCUUAGUUGCCAUCAGGUUAAGCUGGGCACUCUGGGGACACUGCCACCGUAAGGUGUGAGGAAGGUGGGGAUGACGUCAAAUCAGCACGGCCCUUACGUCCGGGGCUACACACGUGUUACAAUGGCAGGUACAGAGAGAC